RNAcentral lists this ribosomal RNA (140 nucleotides) under uncultured bacterium. RNAcentral's name for it is "partial 16S ribosomal RNA". It matches the Rfam family "Bacterial small subunit ribosomal RNA", at positions 355 to 509 of the family's 1533-position model. The record is from RNAcentral.
UGGGGAAUAUUGGGCAAUGGGCGCAAGCCUGACCCAGCAACGCCGCGUGAAGGAAGAAGGCUUUCGGGUUGUAAACUUCUUUUGUCAGGGACGAAGCAAGUGACGGUACCUGACGAAUAAGCCACGGCUAACUACGUGCC